RNA transcript from Acanthopagrus latus (yellowfin seabream), 2395 nucleotides. It is a transcript of the gene named MORN repeat containing 2, with no coding region annotated. The transcript is spliced from 8 exons. The record is from RefSeq and is a predicted model, not a curated record. Lineage: Eukaryota; Metazoa; Chordata; Actinopteri; Spariformes; Sparidae.
GUCGACUGCGCCAAACCCGUAACCAUGGUAACAGCAGUUCGCCCCCAGCACAAAACAGACUCCUUGUUUAAGUGGAGAAGUCAGGACCGGGUAUUUUUAAAAGUGUCACGGCGAGCAAAGUUAGCAGGAGGUUCGCUGGUGUCGUCCUCGCAACUCUUUUAUCAGUUGUUUGACUUUUUACAUUCAAGAAGUUGGCCGCUGCGAGAGCGUUUUCCUGUCGGUUCUGUCAACCAUCUGCCGCCUCGGGGGAAGCUGUCACGGAUGUCUGACAACAAGGGAGGUGGCUGUUUCCAAACUCAAGGGGAAGGACCCAUAAAGGUGUCUUACAUUUUCCCAAAUGGAGACAGAUACGAGGGCGAGUGCAGCAAGACUCCAUCAGGGGUGCUGAUGAGGGGUGGUGUUGGGAAACACACCUCACCAGAUGGUGUCACAUACAUCGGAGAGUGGCAUGACGACAAAAUGCAUGGUAGAGGGACCCUGAAGCAUCCCUCUGGUGCUUUAUAUGAAGGAGAAUUCAAAGACAACAUGUACCACGGCACGGGGACGUACACCUUCCCAGAUGGCUCUACUUACAAAGGUCAAUUUCAUGAGAACAGGUUGGAGGGAGAAGGGGCGUUCACUAACACACAUGGAUUGGUUUGGAUGGGGGAGUUCCACGGCAAAGCAGCACUCGGCCUGAAAAUGCAGCACAACAUAUUUCACCUUCCUGAAGAAGAAAAAUAAAUCCCCCUGUGAUGCAGAACACUGUGACUUUAAGAAGAAAAGAAGUACACUUCUAAUUGUGCCAGAAACAUUGUCAGACAAAAGAAAAAAUAGCCAUUCCAAAUACCAUAUUUAAAUGUGUGAACAGUGGCCAUGCACAUAUGCACAGAGAAGACUGAGGUCAAAAUUAUUGUUCUAUACAAAGAUAAUACAUGACUUCUUGACCCCCCCGAGUUUCAGACAUUCCCAGGGAAACACAGUCGGAGCUCUCGACUCUGGAAUCCCGCUUUAGGUAGUUGGAUGUGAAGAAACGACUAAGGUACAGUGAAGACAAACUAGAAAAACAGCACCAUUUUCGUGACAGCUGUGUUCUUCCAAAGCAAGGGGUGGCGAAGUGCUCACCAAGGCCACCACCAAGGGGGCUCAGUGGUUUACAUAUUGUGCUGUUUGUUGGGCAAAUAGAGAGACAGUCAGCGGGUUGAAGCAGAGUAGAUAGCUUAACAUUUCUGGUCAUUGCUAAUAGCCGCCGAUGGUUCCACAGUGAAGCUGGUGGGGAGGUUAACAGAAAUGUAAAUUUGCCAAAGCAAGCAGUUAAGUCUUCAUUUUUAAAGUCCUUCCGCUAAUAAAUCCCCCAAAAUCCAAUCAAAUAGAGAGUGGCAGGGCUGAAAAGUUAGCAUCAAUCUGGACCCCUCAAUGAGAAAGGAUGAGAAACUUUGUGGUAAACACAUUUAUAACAAGGUUAUAUUUGGUUAAGGUUAUAUAUAUAUAUAUAUAUAUAUAUGCAUAAAGACACGUUACACCUAGUUGCCAACAUAUAAAGGGCUCAUUAAAGUGAAACUCUCGCCAAAAUGCAACCUAGGGUCUUUUUGUGAAUGUACCCGAGUCAAACCUUCGUAUAAAAGCAAACAGCCCACCCCAAACAGCCACAGGGGGCAACAAUAAGCCCAUUCCACACUCAAAAUCAAACAGCAGAGUGUCACAAAAAGAGAGAUUACAUCUUAAUCUGAGCAAUUUUUAAAUUGUAUUUUCGGUUUUAAAAGAGAAAAGUGACACUUUGGUUGUUUAGGUAACAUUGCCUCUGUUAAAGAGCAGCGCAGAGCUUCACUAUGGAACCAUAACAGGAUGUACCGGCGUAUUUGAUAUGUGAGCAUCUACAAAUCCUCGAUGACAUCAGUGAUUAACAGGUUCGGUUUCUGUGACUUCUGGAUUUGAAAUUCAAAGAUACCAAAGUUUCGAAGAUGCCUAGAAUAGGAUUCUAUAAAAGCUAAAUGUUCUAUUUACCUAAACCUGUAAAAGAGAACAGACAGGAUCCAGUUUCUUCCAGAGGAUUCUUCCUUCAAACCAUCCUCUCCACAUGUGCCCAUUUCUUCCCGUUUCUACACACACAUACUUUUUACAAUCACGAACAAACCCAUACACUUAUAGCUGGUAUAUUUCCAUUUUCUUUUUUUCUUUUUUUUUGGUGAUAUAUUAUGCGAGAUCAAGUAAUACUGUAGCUCCCACUUGCUUCUUCAUUUGGACUAUCAAAAAUGACCCUGUGGUUUGCUUCCAAAAGGCCUUUUUUUUUCUUAGAAAAUACAUAAGAAAAACUUUCAAAUCUGUCACUGACAAUCUAAAACCCCGUACCUACAGUAGGCUUUGUGUUAACAUAAAAAAAAAAAAAAAACGAUUAUAAACCAUUGACAUUUACAUC